CUGGAGUCUAUAGAUUUCUAGAAUUUUUAAGUGCUUGGAAUUCGCUUAAUAUAGGGAUGUUUAGUAGAGGUUUGUGGCUUAUUGUUUUCUAGGAUGGUGGGGUACUCCGCUGUUUUUGAGCUGCACUUUAAUCUCUAGAUGUAUAAACCCACUCGUUUUAUUCUGCAGAGGACUAAAACCAGCUUGAUUGCAUGGUACCUGUGGCUUGAGAGCGUAGAUGCAGCAUUACCAAGAGACUGAGCAGGGUUGUAUCAGAGUCACCUUUUUUAUCUGCAAGGGGUGCUUGGUUCAGUUGUGGAGAGGGAAGGGAAAUCAUCAUGUCAGGAAGCUCUGAGGGAAGGUGAGUGGUGUCAGCCUGGUCAUCCCUUAUCUGAAGCGAAGGGAAGACGCUCAGGUGUUUCCCUCAGAGGGUCCGGGGUGAGACUGUUUGGGAUAGAGGAGCAGUGUAGCAGGUGGGUGCUUGCAAGCACAGUGGUCAUUUUGUCCUUUUAUGUUCCCAGGUGGCGUGGGUGAUGCUGGCCGCUCCUUUCAAGCUUGGACCUAAUUUGCAGGUCCAGAGGCAAGUGGCCUGCUGUUUUGAAAGGAUAAAAGUAAAGCUGGGGUCGCUUAUGUUUUUGAGGGUUGGGUGCUACUGCUGGCAGCUGAAUGUUUAUCUUCUUCCUGCCUUUCUCCUUUGUUCAGGCUGCAAUGCAGUGUGCAGUGCAGGAUGUGUCAACCAGCUGCCUCUGCAGUGACUCUGGUGUGUGAUGAGCAGAGGUAACUGUUGUUUUUGGGGUGCGGUUGUCACUGCAGUUAUUUUCCUACAUCCAGUAGAGUAAAAUUCCAGUUUGCCUUUUAGAGGUGCUGUAAGUGGGUGAAGAGAACAGAUGGAAGCAUCUGCCACGUGGGGCAGGCAAGCGGCUGAGGGACAGGAGGGGAUGAGAGUAUGUGAUUUUUUUCCCGGGGGUGGAAUGGAAUUGAUUUUGUUGGUGUAUAAUCUGUUCUGCUCCUAGAUUUUUCUUUCAAUGCAAAUAAAAGUUUGUGCUAAUUCCAUUUGAAGAAGUUCCAGUUACUUGCUGGGUCGUGUUGUCCUUUCAAUGUUAAAAGCUGCAGCAAAAGCAUGGGGAUUAUUGCUUCUUGUGGAUGAUACUGGCUGCACUGUUGGACCUUGGACUCGGAGAGGAAGAGUGAAUGCUGGUACUCUGUUUUUUGCAGCUGAUGAUGAGCCUUCAAUUGGCUAAGAUGACAAUCGGUGCCUGUGCAUUUCUUGAGGCGGAGGGACUUUACCAUGCAGCAACCUAAGAGCUAAGUUGUGGGGCACCUGGUAUUUGCAUAUCUUGGGUGGCUAACGGGAGCUGGGAGCCAGAGCAGCAUGGAGCGUGCUGGCUGAAUAGACUUGGUGCCACUGUGAGGGGUGGUUCAGGCUGCUUGUGGCUGGGUCACCAGGCUAAUAGAAGCAGCGGGCUUAUUUUGUAGCAUGAGUGCGUGUGCCAGGCAGGACAGUUUCCUUCAGUUUGUCUGUCCUGUAGUGUUGCUUCUGCAGUGUCUGUUCUGUGCUUCUCGGGUCUUGAUAUCCUCCUGGCUUUUUAGACCGGACUGACCAGGCAGGCGACUUGGUAGCUGUGCAGAAGGGCCUCAAUGCUUGUUUUGUCCUCAUGGCUCUGAUCAAGCAGUGACUGCAAGACAAGAAGUGCUCGAAAGUGCAGAUCUGUUUCAGGUCUUGUGCAUCAUAUUCGGUUUGAGAUCGCGUCUGUUUCCAUCCUCACUCUUGCAGAAGUCAUCUGGGCCGCAUCAGGAGC
Molecule: non-coding RNA, 1778 nt
Organism: Anas platyrhynchos (mallard)
Lineage: Eukaryota; Metazoa; Chordata; Aves; Anseriformes; Anatidae
Source: RefSeq, a predicted model, not a curated record